AUACGUAGGGGGCGAGCGUUGUCCGGAAUUAUUGGGCGUAAAGCGCGCGCAGGCGGUUCUUUAAGUCUUGUGUUUAAUCCCGGGGCUCAACCUCGGUACGCAUGGGAAACUGGAGGACUGGAGUGCAGGAGAGGGAAGCGGAAUUCCACGUGUAGCGGUGAAAUGCGUAGAGAUGUGGAGGAACACCAGUGGCGAAGGCGGCUUCCUGGCCUGUAACUGACGCUGAGGCGCGAAAGCGUGGGGAGCAAACAGGAUUAGAUACCCUGGUAGUCCACGCCGUAAACGAUGGGUGCUAGGUGUCGGGGGUGUCAUGCCCUCGGUGCCGAAGUUAACACAGUAAGCACUCCGCCUGGGGAGUACGGUCGCAAGACUGAA
Molecule: ribosomal RNA, 375 nt
Filed under: uncultured bacterium
Lineage: Bacteria
Description: bacterial SSU rRNA
Rfam family: Bacterial small subunit ribosomal RNA
Source: RNAcentral